This 300-nucleotide signal recognition particle RNA is filed under the name Zostera marina. Its description in RNAcentral is "Plant signal recognition particle RNA". It matches the Rfam family "Plant signal recognition particle RNA". The record is from Rfam by way of RNAcentral. Lineage: Eukaryota; Viridiplantae; Streptophyta; Magnoliopsida; Alismatales; Zosteraceae.
GCUGAGCUCGGUAACUUGGGCUUGUCACUAAGUGGAACAUUAAGGUAUUUGAAUAAUUUGGUAUUGAAUUCAAAUUUUACAUUAUGAGCUAGCUUUGAUUUGCCCGUUUCCAAGUUGGGCAGUGGAUGCUAUGUUUCAGGCUAACGCUUGAAUCAUAUUCUCCCUGAACUUGAGGGUAAUACGUGAGGCUGGUUUCACAGAGCAUCGAUUACCUCUCACUCUUAACGGUGGAAGGAUUACAACUCAUUUGCUCAUAUUGUCAAUUAGCCUUGGAAACCACCAAAUUCAACAAAUAUUUUU